This 68-nucleotide transfer RNA is filed under the name Plagiodera versicolora (willow leaf beetle). RNAcentral describes it as "tRNA-Ile". Lineage: Eukaryota; Metazoa; Arthropoda; Insecta; Coleoptera; Chrysomelidae. The record is from RNAcentral.
UGUGAAGUGCCUGAUUAAAGGACAAUUUUGAUACAAUUGAAUAAGUGUACCUCCCCCCCCUACACCUU